This 433-nucleotide ribosomal RNA is filed under the name uncultured bacterium. Its description in RNAcentral is "partial 16S ribosomal RNA". It matches the Rfam family "Bacterial small subunit ribosomal RNA", at positions 29 to 507 of the family's 1533-position model. The record is from RNAcentral.
AACGAACGCUGGCGGCAUGCCUAACACAUGCAAGUCGAACGAGACCUUCGGGUCUAGUGGCUCACGGGUGCGUAAAGCGUGGGAAACUGCCCUUAGGUUCGGCCUAACUCCCCGAAAGGGGUGCGAAUACCGGAUAAUGUCUCCGGACCGAAGCUUUAUCGCCUUUGGUUGUGGCCGCGUUGGUUUAGCUAGUGGGUAGGGUACAAGCCUACCAAGGCGACGAUCCAUAGCUGGUUUGAGAGGCUGAUCAGCCACACUGGGACUGGGACACGGCCCAGACUCGUACGGGAGGCAGCGGUGGGGAAUAUUGGACAAUGGGCGAAAGCCUGAGCCAGCAAGGCCGGGUGAGUGAUGAAGGCCUUAGGGUUGUAAAGCGCUUGUACCCGGGAUGAUAAUGACAGUACCGGGAGAAUAAGCUCCGGCUAACUCCGUG